UCUUCACCAAUUUCGGUGCGCAUGUUCAUUAAGCGGAUCGCCGAAGCGCGUA
Molecule: small RNA, 52 nt
Filed under: Vibrio cholerae O1 biovar El Tor str. N16961
Lineage: Bacteria; Pseudomonadati; Pseudomonadota; Gammaproteobacteria; Vibrionales; Vibrionaceae
Source: RNAcentral